GGCAGACUAACUGCUGUACCAAGUUUGUCCUCCUGUUCUCACCGUAGCUCCUCUCCUAUCGGUCACGCCCUCCAGUUAGCUUGCAGGUGGCUAUGUACUCAUUAGCGUCAAUGGCACUUUCUAUAAGACCGGCACCGGAGGUGGGCUAGUAAGUGAUCCCUAGGCUCCGUACGUCCUCCCUACACUGUGUUCGCUGUGCUGUCACCUAUGAAAGGUAUUUGGCUGUGUACCAGACGCUUCCGGGUAGUGUUUUGUUGAUCUACCGAAGGUCUUGACUGAAAAGACGCCGUGUACGCGCAGGUUGCACUUUCUAUUGGGAGAUGCGUUAAGGUAACAUUGGCUGUAUAUCUCAGUAAGGUUUGCCAUGUAAUAUGUGUGUGUGCAUGUGUACAUAUGUAUGUUUAUAUGCAUGUUUACAGUAACUGGAUCUACUAUAAUGUGUCAUGUUUCGCUGUAAGUCCUUGUGAUUUAACUAGCCAAUAACCUUUUAUUAUGUUGUAUGUGAGCGAUGCUUGUGUGUGAUUUUAUGUAGGUUUGCGUACUGGAGAGAUACCAGGGAGUCCCAUUUCCAUUCAUGUUGAGUGCUGUAUUCCUAGAGGUAAAAGGAAACCGUGUUGUAUUGUAUCUGUAUUGGUUUAGGCUGUAUUUACCAUAAACAAUGGAUUUUAACUGUGUUUGUUUACUCCUUUAGAAAGAUUGCCACUGCUGCUUUGCCUCCUGUAGAUUUAAGUAAUUGUAGCUCUUGCCUCAUUUUGUUUUCUUUAUUUUGUUUUGUUUGUCCGAUUGAUUUGGCCUAAACAUAGGCGUGGCUGGUUUCAUUUAUUUGCCCUCCGUCGUGGUGUGUCGGCAACAGGUGUGGUAUUGGCUGCCCCAGUAUUUUGCUGCGGUAAUGUGUGAUGGUAGUAAUGCUAACAUCUAGCUUUCUUGACCCAGCCAGUUAUUGCCAAUAGCAACCAUAUCUUCCCUUCUCCCCUCCAGAGAAACAGAGUGUUGCAGCUGUUCCGCGGGGCAGGUCGCCGGAUCUGAGUCCUCCUCUUCGUGUACUUCACACAGUAUUUGUAGUGGUAACGUGCACCUCACUAUUUGCAGUGAUCACUCUUUGUAGUACCUGUGCCUAUGCGAGCGUGUGUGUGUGUGUCUGUGAAUAGGCAACAGAAUCCGCAGCACGGGUGGUGUGUCGGUCUCACUCCUCUUCCAGGACAGGUAACCGCUCCCGAACAGCUGAUCAAAUUAACCCUACUUGAUUACAUGUAAUAUUCCUGGUGGCAGCCACUACCUUCCUCUUGCUGGCCUAUUGGGCCUAAUAUGUACUGCACUCCAUCCUGAGAAUCAAACCCAAGACUGACUUUUUAACUGAAUUGCUUGUGAAUAAAUAUUGUUUAUUUUUUCAUUGAAAUACCACGUCUCUGUCAUUACUGGCUUAUCUGUGUGCGAGAGCCCUCUUGUCUAAAUCAAGGUGUUGGAGGUCUAGCUAAAAUACAUCUUGGUGUGAAAGGCCCCAAGUGGCGUAGUCGAGCACUCUAUAGUCAAGACUCUUGUCAUCUGACU
Long non-coding RNA from Alosa sapidissima (American shad), 1548 nucleotides. RefSeq lists it as uncharacterized. NCBI's taxonomy places the organism in Eukaryota, Metazoa, Chordata, Actinopteri, Clupeiformes, Clupeidae. The record is from RefSeq and is a predicted model, not a curated record. The transcript is spliced from 3 exons.